CUACGGGCGGCAGCAGUGGGGAAUAUUGCACAAUGGGCGCAAGCCUGAUGCAGCCAUGCCGCGUGUAUGAAGAAGGCCUUCGGGUUGUAAAGUACUUUCAGCGGGGAGGAAGGAAGUAAAGUUAAUACCUUUGCUCAUUGACGUUACCCGCAGAAGAAGCACCGGCUAACUCCGUGCCAGCAGCCGCGGUGAUACGGGAGGGUGCAAGCGUUAAUCGGAAUUACUGGGCGUAAAGCGCACGCAGGCGGUUUGUUAAGUCAGAUGUGAAAUCCCCGGGCUCAACCUGGGAACUGCAUCUGAUACUGGCAAGCUUGAGUCUCGUAGAGGGGGGUAGAAUUCCAGGUGUAGCGGUGAAAUGCGUAGAGAUCUGGAGGAAUACCGGUGGCGAAGGCGGCCCCCUGGACGAAGACUGACGCUCAGGUGCGAAAGCGUGGGGAGCAAACAGGAUUAGAUACCCCUGUAGUC
This 465-nucleotide ribosomal RNA is filed under the name uncultured bacterium. RNAcentral describes it as "partial 16S ribosomal RNA". It matches the Rfam family "Bacterial small subunit ribosomal RNA", at positions 339 to 795 of the family's 1533-position model. The record is from RNAcentral.